AGGGUGAGACUACAAUGGAGCUCCAGCUGGUAGGUCCCUUAUUCCCGAGGGCCUAUCCACUGAAGGUGGCUUCUAGCUGUGCUGCUGCCUAUUCUCGGACUGAUCAUUGCUGGGGGUCUUUAUGUCAUCUGGAAACAGCACAUGGAAAAAAAGAAACUCAGGGACGAGCUCAAGUCUAACCGGGAGAAGUUAGAAGCACGUAAAAAGCGCUGAAAUUCUCUGAGGAUCUCAGCUCCCUCCUGCCUGGCGGUCCGGACUCUUCCUGGUCCAUUCCAGAAAGCCAGAUCCAGGGCCACUCCCACAACUCUUUGCAGCCUCCUCCUCCUCCUUCACCCUGCUGCUGUUAGGGCUCCAGCAGCCUCCUGGAACGCCUCUACCAGAGUGGGGGAACAAAAGGGGGCUGAAAACCCAGGAAGGAAUUGGGUAUCCCCAGCAAGACUGAUGUGGAUCAUUGGUUCUGAGCCCUGUGGGAAGUCAGCUUCCCUGAGGAAGGAGGAAGUGGGUGAAGGUGUCUACGCUGGGCAUCUCCAACCUGGGUCUGUGUCCCUGUCUCUGUUUUUGGAGGAAAUAAAGCAUUUUUCUCAAGGGAA
Ornithorhynchus anatinus (platypus) is the source of this 590-nucleotide long non-coding RNA. RefSeq lists it as uncharacterized. The record is from RefSeq and is a predicted model, not a curated record. The transcript is spliced from 4 exons. Lineage: Eukaryota; Metazoa; Chordata; Mammalia; Monotremata; Ornithorhynchidae.